UUUUAUAAUUUUUAUGAAUAGUUUUCUAAAUUAUGGAUUCGUUAAGGAGUAUCAAUCAGGGUAUUAUUACAUUAUUGUCUUAAAACAAUUUUGUUGUCUGAUUGAUGAAGGGUUGCAGCAUUCACAAAGCUACGUGGAGUUAGAUGAAACCAAUGGUUUCAACUACCCCUGCAACUUGGAUCCUGCUGACUGCUGAGCAUUGGAAAAUGGCAAAAUACAAAAGCNN
This 226-nucleotide long non-coding RNA is filed under the name Citrus x clementina. Its description in RNAcentral is "Citrus clementina (C. clementina) long non-coding RNA (CCLE_LNC003548)". The record is from RNAcentral. Lineage: Eukaryota; Viridiplantae; Streptophyta; Magnoliopsida; Sapindales; Rutaceae.